RNAcentral lists this long non-coding RNA (528 nucleotides) under Daucus carota (carrot). Its description in RNAcentral is "long non-coding RNA (DCAR_LNC004420)". The record is from RNAcentral. Lineage: Eukaryota; Viridiplantae; Streptophyta; Magnoliopsida; Apiales; Apiaceae.
UCCCCCCCUCUCACUCAAUCCCCUCCCCUCCCUCUCUCUCCCCUCUCUCACCUCCUUCUCUUCCCCCUUUCAUAUGUAAUUUAAUUCGUGCAGUUGUCGUAUUUUUUUUGCCGACUCAUUCGUCGUCACUGUCGCCGAGUUCUAUCUCCGGUCUAUCACCGCUUUAUCGCUCGAACGAGUCAGGUCAUUGAUCGUUCAGUUGCCGUACUUUAUUCUCAUUCAGGGUUUUUCUAUGCUUCCUUUCCAACGACCAUGAUACACACGUCCUUUGAUCGUACGGCUAUGGCUCAUUUACGUAUAAAGAUUUCGACAUUCAAAUAAAUGGUGUACUCUCUCCGAUUCUUAACUUAAAUGUUUAUAUGAUUAUUUUCUUAAUAUUUUCAAUAUUGUGUGUUUUUAAAAGUGUUGAUGUAAAUAUACAGAUUUUCUCAUUAAUAUUAUUUUCGGGGGUGUAUUCGAUUGAGAUUUUAAUUGAUUGUUUUUAGUCUAUGGAUUUUAAUGGAUUGUAUGGGAUUUUGAUUUUGUGCG